Molecule: RNA transcript, 876 nt
Organism: Hyposmocoma kahamanoa
Lineage: Eukaryota; Metazoa; Arthropoda; Insecta; Lepidoptera; Cosmopterigidae
Gene name: serine/arginine-rich splicing factor 7-like
Exons: 5
Source: RefSeq, a predicted model, not a curated record
GCAUCCCUAGUACGUACGCUAUUUCGUCGUUUCUUCCGUCACCGCCCGCCAUUUUGUAAGCGAUUAUUUUAUUAGUAUCGUGACGCAGUUACCUUACUGAAAUAAACUCCUAAUCGCAGAUUAGGUAGUGAUAUUGUGUAGAGGAAAUAUGUCUAGGUACGGUGAUUGCAAGGUUUAUGUUGGUGAUUUGGGUAACAAUGCGAGCAAACCUGAACUUGAAGAUGCAUUUUCAUACUACGGGCCGUUAAGGAAUGUUUGGGUGGCUCGGAAUCCACCCGGCUUCGCGUUUGUCGAAUUUGAAGAUCCUCGUGACGCUGAGGAUGCGGUACGUGGUUUAGAUGGACGUACAAUAUGUGGACGCCGUGCACGUGUGGAAACUUCAAAUGGUGGUCGCUAUGGAGGACGCGGGCCGCCACCGCGCUCCCGGCUGCCUCCACGCCCUUAUGACGACCGCUGCUACGACUGCGGUGACCGUGGCCACUAUGCCAGAGACUGCACGCGUCGCCGUCGCCGCAGGUUAUCAUUGGCCUGUGCGCCGAGAACGAACUCGUCAGUGUCUGCACUUCUUAUUGUCUGCGCUACGUAGCUUUCACUUCGCGGCGUGAGCGCCGCUAAGUUGGCCACAUCUAACUUUGCUCUGCGAACUACGUAGCAGCGUGCGUACUUCACUGUCGCGAACUACAUUGAGAGUAAUGUUCGUUCUGCGCCCCGCUACACACGUCUAAUGUAAUCACUGCGUGCACUCACCGCUCGAGGUCCCGCCGUCGCACAAGAUCCCGCUCACCGCGCUCUGGCUCUCGUUCCCGCAGCCGCAGCCGCUCCAGGUCCCGUUCAAAGGGCCGUUCCGUCUCCCGUUCGAGGUCUCGUUCGCCAUCG